This is a long non-coding RNA of Labrus mixtus (cuckoo wrasse), 355 nucleotides long. RefSeq lists it as uncharacterized. NCBI's taxonomy places the organism in Eukaryota, Metazoa, Chordata, Actinopteri, Labriformes, Labridae. The record is from RefSeq and is a predicted model, not a curated record. The transcript is spliced from 3 exons.
CAAACGUAAGCAAAAAGUCAAGCCUUACCAUGAAUGCAGACGGUUUUCGACGCAGUUACCAACUUCCAUCAGUCUUCAAAGAGAUACCGUUUCAUGUAGAGUGCCUCAGAAAAGCAGGAUACCUUCCCUCCGGGAUCCUCGCCAGGCGUUUGGCAUAAAGGUGUCGAGUCCACUUUUUUAUCCUAAGCAAGAAAACUCAAUGUAACACCAACGCCCACCCAUGUCUUUAUGACAUCUGGCGGCGGAGGAUGGAACAACCAUUCCCCUUCUGUUAAAAAGGCAUUGUCCAGGAUAAUAAAUAUCAAGGCACACUGUUAUUUACAAGAAAUGUGAUGGAAACCUUAACAUUACAACA